UUUCAAACAAAAUACAAUGAGCUGCUGAAAAAGCUAACUAUGAUUUGAGAGGCCGGGUAGUAUAUGGUAGAUCCUUGACAGGCCUCAAGGUAGCCUGCCAAAAAUUGAAAAUAAAAAAUGACUCAAGACUUUAGAAAUUCAUAUUUAGUCGCAGUCGACUAAUUUGUCCGCACAACCGUUAGCCAAGUCACAGAAAUUAAAGAAAAGCAUGCACUGUAAGUUAUCUGGCAGAAAAGAAAACAACAUCGAUAAGGAGGUUCUCACCAUGCUAGAUGAGGUGUGAAGCUUCUGUUACUCGAAUUCAACUUCUGGAAUAUGAGCGAUCUUGUGCUUGUCCUCUCCUUGGCACUUCUCUGACAGUGCUGGGCAGUCCGUGAUCCGCAGUUUCUUUAACUCAGUAAGACGCUGUAUGCUUUCUGGCAAUGAAGAUAGCAUUGGGCAUGAGACGAUUUGAAUUUCUCUCAAAGAAGUAAAAUCUCCCAGCCAUUCUGGCAGUGUCUCCAAGUCAUAACAGUCCUCUACGUUGAAUUCCCGGAGGGAGAUGAAACAUCGGAUAACCUCUGGCAAUGUUGUAAGACCCGUGAGGGGGCCAAGAGCAAGGUUGUCGAUAGAACAGAGAUACCGGGCCCUAUGCCACGCUUAAGGAGAAGGGGAUGUGCCCGCUAUCAAAAGGAAACAUGGAGAAGUGAUAGAUGAGAGGUUCCCAAACCCAUGUUCCGCAAAAACGUGAUCGCUAUUCUGUACCACCCAAGUCACGCUCCUUGGGGGAUAAGGCAGGAAUUUCAACUUUGGGCAAUUAGAAGCAAACAGCAGAUGUAAAUUAGGGAUUAAGAACUCUUCAUCUUCAUUAGACGUUCUCGUUGUCCACCACCCUGCCAAGUUGUCCAUUCCCUCCAAAAGAAUCAUUCUUAGCUUCCAGCAACUUCCGUGGUCCCCAUAAAAUUCCCUUUUGAGAUUGGGCAUACUAGCCAAGCACAAUGCUCUCAAAUUUGGCAGGCGCCCAAGUGGAGGGAGGUGGCUGCACCCUUUCAGAUUCAAAAGAACGAUGGUGGUAAGAUGAGGUGGGUAGGAAGGAAGGUCCAGCAUCCACCUAGAGAAGUCUACGCUCAUGUAACCAUCAAGACCAAGGUGUCGGAGAUUUCUAGGAGGCACAAGCUUCUCCAGCACCGAUUUGUCAACCGAUGCAUCUGCAUGCUCCACCAUACUACUUUGACCAUGUUGCCAUGAAAGAGACAGCCUCCUAAGAUUUGAGUUGUUGAACAGUUUAGCCUGGUCUGCCCCUUCCAGAUUCUUGACAUUCUGAAGAUCUUUGAUCUGCAGCUCAAGGCAGGGUGUCUUCUCGAGGUCCAAAAUUUGACUCCAUAGAUCACCACGUCCAUCAAGCUCACAUGACCUUUCCAGGUUUAGUUGUUUCCUAAGUUUAUCAACUUCAGAACGUAUAUCGAAUGUAAAAAAUCCUCUUUCGACAUGUACAAGUGUAGACAUGUUAAAAAUGCUAUCCGGCAAGCCAACAAGGAAAAAGCAGCCUUGGAAAUCCAAACUCUGAAGUCGUAAAACACCAAUAGAAGCAGGCAGAUGUCUAAGUUUUACACAGAACGACAAAUUUAGAUGCUUUAACAUCAUGAGUUUGCAUAGAGACUCGGGCAACAUUUGAACCUUGGAACAGCUUGUCAUGUUCAGAUACUCAAGCUUAGAAAGUUGAUCAAUACAAUCUGGGACCUUUUCAAGAUUAUGGCAAUCCGACAGCUCAAGAUGUGUUAGAUCAUGAAGUUGACAACAAGAUUCUGGUAGUGAGUGGAGUUUGUAGCAAUCGGAUAGGUUCAAAAACUGAAGCUUAUGCAACUUGCCAAAGGAUUCUGGAAGGGUAGGCAGUUCAUGGCAGCUUGCCAAGUUUAAGAAGAGCAAAGCACUGAGGUUACCGAAAGAGGUGGGAAGUUCAUGAAGGUUGACACAUCCUGAUAGGUCAAAGUAUUGCAGCUUUUGGAGGCAACCAACGUUUGUGGGCAGUGCCUUCAGAGAAGUGUUUGAAAGUAUCAAGGUUUGCAAGUUUAGGAGACGGUUCAAGGAUUUAGGAAAGUUUGGGAUAGGAAGGUUGGAAGCAUCAAGAUACCUUAAUAGCUUUAGUUUACAAACAGAACCCGGUAGCUCUGACACAUGGCAUCCACUCAAAUCCAAAACUCUCAGAUAUAAUGCGUGUGAGAAUGCUUGCUUAGGAAGAUGAAGUUUAUUGCAUUCCCUGAAAUGCAUGGCCCUAACCUUUGGUGGCAAAGACUUAGAGGAUGAAGACUCGUUACUAUUCAUCAAUAGCUGAUAGUGACAAAUCAAUUUGCCCGCCUUAGUAGUGCUGUUUGCCACACCAUUUGUGCAAGAUAAUUCAUCACCAGCAACAUGCCUUGCGAGAUCGUGUACCAUAUCAUGCAUACAAAGUCUAAGUGUGGGUUCAAAACUCCUUGAAGCCGGCACCUUGCAAAAGAAAAUAGAGCAUAGUUCAUAUCUUUUCAAGAUAAACAAUUGCAAUUUCGUAAUUACAAGUACGCUUACUGUAGGAGUCAAAUUUGUGAGGAAGGACAUUCCCAAGAAUUCAUUAACAUAUUCCCUACCAAUCUUCUGAAGCGUUGCCCAUUAGUAUCUUGAAUAAACCCCAAAGCAAUCCAUUGCUGGAUCAAACAAUCAUGAUCUAUAUCAUGGUUCCUAGGGAAGAUAGAGCAAUACAUGAAACAAAGUUGAAGUUGUGGAGGCAUGUGGUAAUAGCUUAGCAGCAAGCCCUUCAGAAUUCCUUUGUCAUCAUCCUUAAUAUCCAGUAUGUUACUAUUUUUAAUUUCUAACCAUUCUUCUCUUGUGCACUGCUUCUGCAUCACAUAACCAAGAGCCUUAGCAACCAGAGGUACUCCACUGCAUCGCUGUGCAAUAUCCUUUCCAAUGUCUACAAGGUCAGUAAGUUGACCAUUUCUGAGAUUACGAGGCUUCAUAAUAGACCAACAUUCAUCAAUUGACAUACUCUCCAGUUUAAUUGGGUCAACAAUCUGAAAAUAUGAAGAAUGUAUGGUAGUAGUAGAUACUAAACUAACAACCUUUUCACUACGGGUAGUGACUAUUAUAUUGCUACCUUUCAUUCCAGAUUGCAACAUGUUCAUCAGAUCCUCCAACUUAGACCUCUCUUCCUCCCAUAAAUCAUCUAAGACUAUAAGAUAAAUCUUGCCAUGGAGUAUGCGGUCAAGUUGAGAUUUUAGGUACUGCAGAUCAACAUCAUUAGCAGGAGUGCUACCCUCGACCUGAGAUAUAAUAGCAGACACAAUCUUAUUUAGCUGAAAGUCCAUCGAGACAUGAACCCAUGCUUUCACAUCAAACAUAUUUGUUUCCUUGUCAGUGUAAACAGCCUUUGCUAAUGUUGUCUUACCCAUUCCACCAAGGCCAACAACAGGAAUGAUAAAGCUUUCUUUCUCUCCAUUUUUCUGCAACACCUUAGUCAGUAUGUCUUUCUUCUCUCUUUCCCUUCCUAUCACCUCAAUUUCAUCUCUGUCACCAAUAAAGGUUUCUCUCCACUUCUUCUUACUAUCUUGGCUUGUUGGGGUAGGCAAUGUCAGAAAACGGAAUUUCGUCUGGUCCUCAACAAUCUUAUCUAGCAUCGCCCGGAUAUUUCUCAUCUUAUCUGACAUGGUGAUGCGCACAACGAGUGGAUUGAUUGAUGAGAAGAAAAAUUUAGCCUGCAGUAUUUUUGUAAGAUGGAAUCAGUGAAACAACCACAACAUAUAUCCUCAGAAGGCACGUGUUACUAAAAAUCUACCAAAAAGUUAGUAUAGUUUUAUGAAGUAGAUAUAACUCCUAACUAGAAAAUUAUUUUCUAUUUCUGGACAGUAGCAUGCAAGAAUUCCUAUGGAUUGCCAAAUUGUGGUCACCAACACUGACAAAAAAGUUGUGGUAGUGUCACAGUCACACCGCACAACAUUAUACUAAUUAAUCCUACAAGUGGAUCAAUGUUCCUAUUCUAUUUCUUUAUCGAUGAAUUGAGAAUUGAGAUGCGAAUUUCGUUAGUCAAUUGUGCUAGAAAAGAUUGUCUAUUCUAUGACCAUUUAAAUUAGGUACAGGAAUUAGGAUCUUUUUGGAAUGUGUGACUACAGUUCAAUGGACAAUUUAAAGCUCUAACCCAUUUUACUUUGUGCUUGAUUUGGUAACCUUUUGAGGAACAAAACUAAGCUGGGGCCCCUAGAAAUAAUAACAAAAAGAGUGAAUCAGACUGAAAUUAGAAUGCAGAAAUGUGUAAAGUUUCCAUGAAAUUUCAUGUAAUUUAUUCACACUAGCACUAUAAGUAUAUGCUGAUUAUAAUAUUAUUAAAUAGACCAUACAAUAUCCAGUACAGUAAUCAACUGUGACCUUGCAUUGGAGGGAUCAGGCUAAUUACAGAAUGGGCCCAAUAACCUUUUAUUCUGGAGAUAGAUUGCUCUUUGGCAAUCGACUUUAGUAGAGAGCAUAGCAAAGUAGCGAAGAGUUGGCAAGCUAGGAGGAACUACUGCUAUGUGGUUGAGGCAACAACACCUCGUGUGUUGUCUAACACCUGAACCAUGACUGUAACCCAAGUAAUAUGAAGCUCUCUUGUCCCUUAGAAACAUGGGAAAGGAAUCUGUAUUUAGCAUGCUGCAAUUAUUUUUAAUUUUUAAUUAUUAAAGCAUGUGAAUUCCCCCUUCAACAACUAGAAUUUUUUUUGGAAAAAGAAUAUUUGUUUGGUUUCCCUGCGCAAUUUUCCCAAGCCUUUCAAAUAAGCAAGGAAAUCCUCGUAAGCUAUGAAUGGGCAAGGGAAUAAAACCAUAGUUUAAAAUAGUCAGCUAUAGCCUCCGCUUUCUCCGGCUAUAGCGGAUCGAGAUGGGUGCAGCUAUUGCUCACGUGUGCAAUUCAUUGGCUAUAGCUCCAUCCAACAACCAAGUUUUUUAAAAAAAGAAUAAUUGUUUGGUCUCCCUGCACAACCUUUCCCAGCCUUUCAAGUGAGCAAGGAAAUCCUUUUAAGCUAUUGAAUUGGCAAGGGAAUAAAAUAUGAAAUAUGUGUCUACUUAAAAGGGAGCAAAUGCUAAACAGAAGAGAGGACGUGUGCCUGUGGGACACAGUGGAAGAAGGUAUGUAUGGUGGUUACAGGGCCCGGAUCUACUAUGUCAAACUUUUGUGCUUAACUCUCGUUAAAUCCGUGGAUCUCCCUGUAGGUUCAACUAGGCAAUCAACUGACUAGCAGGUGUUUCCACGAACCAGUGUCAUACGAUGAUUGCAAUUAGAUAAUUAAUUCAGAUAACUAUUUUCUCCAAGGAACAUAAUUUAGAUAAUAAUUAUCUGGUGGCUAAAAAAUUGUACAGAUCUAGCUCUGUGAGAGGCCUUAACAACUUUCCAUCAAAACUACGUGCGUAUAUGAUUGUUGGGUGUUCUGAGGGCUGUGUGUACGUAUAUGAUUUAGCAUAUCGUAGUCUAUUACUUCUUCACAAACAUAUGUAUAUGGAACAUUUUGAGAAAUAUGUAAAUGGAAUAAUUUUGACAAAUAUCAAAUGUUUUGUGGUGUCUGUUUACUGUGCACACCCACAGAUCCACGAGAAUACAUGUAGACGCUAACUGAAUAAAGAGUAACUGCUCUCCAUUAUCCUAAUAGCUAGAAUUAGUAGCAUGAGAAGACCCAGUGUCAUAGUACUUACCGUGCAUGUACUAUUUCUCCAUAUCAUUGCGUUCGCGCCCAACUCAUCCAGUGUGUCCUCCAUGUCAUAGGCAACAGAUUUGUACUUCUUGAGCCAGAGUCUCGCCAAUGCAUCCUCGGACUCCUGGGAGCGCUUCUCAGCAUUGUUAAGUGCAACCUGCAGGUUAAACAUUUUGUCCUUCAUCUCCUUGGCAUCAUUCUCAAAGUUCCAUAGCAGCUCGAUCCUCUCCCAGGCUUUGUCACCGAGCAUGCUGCCAACAUGCUGAAUCACGGCACUUGCGAUCAUGUCAGGUCCCCCACUCAUGGCUGCAGACUUGUGUUUUGCUCUCUCACAAACACAAGUGAUGUUGCUUUUGUGUACUUGAAAGCUCCUAUAUGAAGAACAUACGACAUGUUAUGCAGAUAUAUGCUGCUGCCCGUCUUCUAGUCAAGCUUUUUGCAUCCACAGAUACCUGAAGUGCAGUGCAGGUUCAGGACUUGGAAUCCCCGCCGAAAGCAAACUGCAUAAAUCCCUAGACUACACCGCAAGUCAUGGCCUUUGGUGAAAGUAAAAUAGGCGUGGUGCCUAUCCUGGAAAAGAGAACGUAUGGACAAAGUUAAAGAUAUGAACUUGAAAUAUUUAACUCAAAGAUGACAGAUUAUGAUUUCUUUGCUAAUGAAUUCGGGAGGAGGGAGAGAUGGGGAGAAUGACGGAGCAAACACUGCACGAGACAUAAAUCAUAAGAGAUGGAUGGAUUUUUCGGCUUCUGGCCAUGAGCUUGCUACAAGAACAUAUAAGACUGAUAUUCACGAGGGAGAACACUCUUGGACUGAAUGAAUACUGAAGAGUGCCACCCCUUGCUUCUAAAGAUGAAGAUGAUUUGUUAACAGUACACGGUUCACUUGUUCGAUUUCAAUAGGAACGCCAAGCGCGAUUGUUCGCCCCGUACCUUUAGCAUCGGCGACGUACGGCGGCCCGCCGUAGUUUCACCGCGUCCUUGCGGCAACACGAAGAUCAAUUUCGGCAACAGACGCGAGCGCCGCCUCCGAAGGGUUCCUGCCCCUGCCGGAGCCGCCGGACGACCAACGGCGUCCGCCUCCAGCGAAGCGGCCAAGGCCCUCCAUCCGCCUUAGCAACCGCCUCUCCACCGGCGGCAUCGCCCCACCGAGCCCCGCCCCCUCGACAUUCCCCAUCCACCUGCAGACCGAUGAAUGGGGAGUACUCUACCAACCCGGGGUCCUACUGAGGGCCCAAGGAAGGAACGCGAGGUCGAGCUCGUCGGAAGCGUCCGCCGCCGCGGUCGAUGGCGUCACUCUCGCGCUCGCCGUCGCUCGGUUCGGCCCCGCAGCGUCCGACGCCACCGGCGGCGAGCAGCAGCUGGGGCGGGUUUGGGUUUGGGCUUGGCAUCCGGCUUGGGUUUGGGCUUUUCAAUUCACACACGCGGAAAAAAAAAGGCUGAUCUCUUCAUGGGCUCAUGGCCUGUCUAACAUUAUUCUCCAAAAAAGGCUGAUAGUGCUCCAGCAGCAUAAUCUUGAGCCAGCCUUGGUGCUGCGGUAAAAGAAGUGGCGUGAAAUGUCAGUUAAAACAUGCGGUAUGAAAUAAUGUUUCUAAACCGAGACACUCUACUGUUUUAUACAGGUAAAAUAGCUAUUUUGGUCCCUCGGCCAAUCUAGUUUCUUAAUUUUUUUUAUCAAACAUAUCCUUGUGUGAGACUUCAUAUUAGCUUAAGAUUAAUGCGAAAAGUCAUGUUUGCCCUCGGCCUCUUCUUCCCGUCCUCAAUUAUCCAAAAUAAGUAUGAGCAUAUAUAUGUUUACCGAGAGAGUACAAAUACAUACAUGAAGUAUGUAUACAGUACCAUGAGUACUUUAAAUUAUGUGUACUAAGUUGUGUAUAUCAUGAAAGAAUAUCAGCACUUACAUUUUGUAUAUCAAAAUUUAAUCCGUGUGAACACAUGCAUGAUUUUAAAGAGCACGAGAACAUGUAAAACUAUAUUUUAUAUCAGUUAAAAAAUAUACUGUUGUCUGUAUGUAUUGAGAGAGCAUGAGCAUAUACAUGUUUGACCUACAUGAGCUAAGGGUAAAAUGGACUUUUCACAUUAGUCUCGUACUAAGAUAUAUAGCACCACAUCAGCAAAAUGAUGAGUUUGACCUUAAAACGAAAGUUGAGGGACCAAAUUAACCUAUCUGAAAGUUGAGGGGCCAACUUGACUUUUCGUGUAAAGUUCAGGGAUUAAAAUGAAGAAUGAGUUUGACCUAAACGGAAGUUAAAGUUGAGGGACGAACUUGACUUUUUGAUGUAAAGUUUAGGGACUAAAAUGUCUAUUUUGCCUUUUAUACACAGUUGUUAGUUCCCAGACCAUUUUGCCUCGACAAGCAAAACUAGCCAAGUCCAAGAUGGGCGAGGCGGUCAAGCUCAUCGGCUCCGGCAGCAGCCCCUUCGUGCACCGAGCCGCUGUGGCUCUGCGCCUCAAGGGCGUGCCCUACGAGUUCAUCCGCGAGGACAUGAGCAACAAGAGCGAUCUGCUUCUCCAGCACAACCCCGUCCACAAGAAGGUGCCCGUGCUCCUCCACGGCGGCCGCGCCGUGUGCGAGUCCCUCAUCAUCGUCGAGUACGUCGACGAGGCCUUCCCGGGGCCGCCGCUCCUCCCCGCCGACCCCCUACGACCGCGCCGCCGCCCGCUUCUGGGCGCACUUCCUCGACGACAAGUGCCUCAAGUCGUUGUGGCCGGCGCUGUGGACGGAGGGCGAGGCGCAGGCUGCGUCGAUGGCGGUGGCGAGGGAGAACUUGGCGAUACUUGAGGAGCAGCUCAGGGGGAAGAAGAAGAAGAGGUUCUUCGGCGGCGAUUCCAUCGGCCUCGUGGACAUAGCCGGGGUGCGCGUCCUGAGCGACGAGGAGCACCCGGCCCUGCGCCGCUGGGCGAACGAGUACCUCGCCGACGAAGCCGUCAAGGAGUGCCUGCCGGACAGGGACCAGCUUGUGGCCCACUUCUCCGCGAACAGGGACAAGUGCAUCUCGAUAGCCAAAUCCAUGCUGCCGCCGAAUUGAUGGAGUUGCUUGAAACAAUCGAUCGGCUUUGUAUUAUCGUGACGGUGACAUCUAUCUGCUGUUUCUUGAGUGUCAGAAAUAAAGGGCAACAGUGUUGCGAACUUGUUCUCUUAGGGGUGUUUGGAUACGAGGUGUUAAACUUUAACAGUGUCACAUCGAAUGUUUGGAUGCUAAUUAGGAAAACUAAAUAUGAGCUAAUUAUAAAACUAAUUGUAGAACCCUAUGCUAAUUCGCGAGACGAAUCUAUUAAGCCUAAUUAAUCCAUCAUUAGCAAAUGGUUACUUAGCACUACAUUGUCAAAUCAUGUACUAAUUAGGCUUAAUAGAUUCGUCUCGCGAAUUACACUCCAUCUAUGCAAUUAGUUUUAUAAUUAGCCUAUGUUUAAUACUCGUAAUUAGCAUUCAAACAUCCGAUGUGACGGGUGUUAAACUUUAACACUAGUGAGCCAAACAGGCCAGAGUGUUGUUUCCUGGCAGCUUCGUCCCUCCCGUCUUCCAUUAUUGGUCAAUUGACUCUCCUUUGUAGCGGUAUUCUAGUAGAAGCAAAGAAAUCGAUCAUCCACUUUUGACCUGUAUCCUCCUGCAGCAACGACUGAGGUUCUGUUGACCAAAAUACAUGUUGGAUGGGCACGUGUCGCAGCGCAGUUCCUAUAAAGCACCCACAGCAGUUCGAUCUGGCCAGAACAAUCCCCGAUCGAGCGCUUCAGUCGGUGUGUACGAGAACGGAGGCAAAGAUGACGACCGAACCGGUGACGCUCAUCGGCGCUUUCGGCAGCCCGUUCGUGCACCGCGUCGAGGUGGCCCUGCGCCUCAAAGGAGUCCCCUACGAGCUCAUCCUGGAGGACAUGAGCAACAAGAGCGAGCUGCUCCUGAAGCACAACCCCGUGCACAAGAAGGUGCCCGUCCUCCUCCACGGCGACAGGGCCGUCUCCGAGUCGCUCGUCAUCGUCGAGUACGUCGACGAGGCCUUCGACGGGCCGCCCCUCCUGCCGGCCGACCCCUACGAGAGAGCCCUGACGCGCUUCUGGGCUCACUUCCUGGAGGAGAAGGUGAUUAAUCGAUAGUACCCGCUACUGCACCUUCAGUUGCAACAUCGCGCCAUUCUCAUUUAACCAAUUAACCCUGCCGAGCAAAUCAAAUUGACAGUGCCUACAGCCGCUCCGGGCGGCGCUGUUCGCGGACGGCGAGGUGCAGCAGGUGGCAAUGAAAGAGGCGAGGGAGAGCCUUGCAGUAGUGGAGGAGCAGCUCAGGGGGAAGAGGUUCAUGGGAGGAGAAGCCAUCGGCCUCGCGGACAUAGCCGCCGGCGGCCUGCUGGGGCACUGGCUUGGUGUGCUCGAGGAGGUCGCCGGAGUGCGUGUCCUCAGCGAUGAGGAGGAAUACCCGGCUCUGCGCCGGUGGGCGGCGGAGUACAGCUCCAGUGAAGCGGUGAAGGAGUGCCUGCCGGACAGGGCCCGGCUUCUCUCCUACUUCGGCGCCAUCAGGGAGAAGUGCGUCUUGGUGGCCAACUCGACGCUGCCCAAAUAAACAUUGAGCUCAUCAUCAUCGUCAUCUAGUAAUGCUUUAGCAUGUUUGGUUGCCCGUCACCGUCACCGCCUGCCACCUCCCCGCCCCACCCCGCCGGCCACCUCCUCCCGCCUCCCCCGGCGGCUCCCUGGCUCCCCGCCGGCCCCGCGCGCCUCCCCGCCGCCCCGCCGUGCUAGAUCUGCUGUGGGGAGAGAAGAGAGGAAGGAGAGAGGAGUGGAAGUCCUCUCUGUGCCGCUCUGUGCUGUACUGCUGUGCCGCUGUGCGCUGUACUUAAAAAAUCUCUUAAGACCCGUUAGGUUACUUUUGCUUAUUUUUAAGCACGUGUCAUAUUGAAUAUUUAAAUACGUAUUAAACAUAGACUAUUUACAAAACUCAUUACAUAAGUGGAGGUUAAACGGCGAGACGAAUCUAUUAAGCCUAAUUAAAUCUAAUUAAUCCAUCAUUAGCAAAUAUUUACUGUAGCAACAUAUUGUCAAAUCAUGGACUAUAUAGGCUUAUUAGAUUCGCCUCGCCGUUUAGCCUCUACUUAUGUAAUUGGUUUGUAAAUAGUCUAUGUUUAAUACUUCUAAUUAGUAUCCAAACACGGAUGCUAAAAAUAAGCAAAAAAAACCAAACCAGGUCUAAAUCCUCUCGCGGGAGGGGCUCGAACCGGUAGCAGAGGUCGGGUUCCAUCCGCAUCCGGCGCUAGAGGGUCGUCGAGGACUUCCAACUUUAGAACUAAUACUAAUGCUGUUAAUAUUAGUAUCAAGUUCAAAAAUAAUCGGUACUAAAAAGGACGAAAGAUAGCUAAGGAUGAAAGAUAGUAGCCGGUCCAUCGAAUGUCUCGUCGAUGUACUCAAGGAUGACGAGGGACUCGCAGAUGGUGCGGUCGCCAUGGAGGAGCACGGGGCCUUCUCGUGGAUGGGGUUGUGCGUGGGGGCUCUUGUUCUCCAGGUCUUCGAGGAUGAGCUCGUAAGGCACGCCCUAUGGAAGAAUAUAACUCGAUAAUAUAACCGAGUACUUAUAAGUACGAAGUGAUUAGUUUAAGAUUAAAAAUGAUUCAGAAAAAAAAUAGCUAGAGCCUAAUCGCCGCCUUGCUCGGCGCGGUGCCGUGAGUCCAUGCGCCCCACGGUCGUCGCAAGGGGAACUGGGAAGGGGCUCUCCGGUCGUCCGGCGUCCGUGAUGCCGCGCGCCCGCGCCAAAAAGCCUCGCCGGAGGGAGCGGAUGGCCGGAGCACGAUGAUUGACCGUCAUUUUCAUCUCCGGAGGUCGAACACAAUUAUUUGGGCAUCUGAACAUGGAAGAGGAAAAAAAUGGCAAGAAGCUCAAUCUUCCGGGACAAGCAGCUGGCAGCCAUGAAAUCCUAAGGGCAUGUACAAGCCACAGACAGUUUGUCGUCUGGAUGAUGAUGUCACACCAUAUAAAGACAUCUAAAUAGACAACGUGUACAAUCCAUUGUUUGUUUGAUUGUCUGUUAAGUCUUUAAUGUCCGUAUGUAGCCACGGUCAAUCGUAAAUAAGACUUGUGUAUACUAUUGUAAAUAAGACUUGUGUAUACUAUUGUGUUGCUUGUUGAAAAAAGAAAGAUCAAGCAUAAAUAAGAUGCUUUUGGAAACAUAAAUAUAAAAGAUAUUUGAAUAUAUUUAUAUUAAUGUAAUAGAACAAAAUACUAGAGUAGGCCUCUACGAUAGCGUGCCCCACGUCCUGCAUAUGUACACAGCAGUCAUUCUUCAAUCCAUGUUCAGAGUUACCUCAUUUUAGACCUAUCGAACAUCUUCCACAUUAUUCAGAAUCAGCAAAAGUCUGUACUUAACAAAUAAAUAAGUUAGGUGGAUACUUGCCUUUGGGAGGGCAUCCAUAACAGCUGCAGGAAUAGGCAUAUGGAAUAGGACUUGUUCAUUGAAGGAUUUUGCAGCUUUGAGGAUCUGAUGAACAAGCUUAGCCUGAAAUUGUUGAGAACUCAUGCUGAAAUUAUUCAGCAACUAGAUCCAUGAGUUUUGAGUGAUUACCAAGGUGCAUCCUAAGCUGCUAAACGUCCAAAUCCAAUGCAAGAGGGAUCAUUGCCGGCUGCAUCCCACCAAGCUAGGGACGUUGAAGGGGGAACGUGCGGUGGCGGCGCGUCCCUGCUAGCAGCAGCGGUGCAGUCUGGCGCGGCGUGCGGUGGCGGCGCCUCGCGCCAGCAGCCUCAGCACAGCCAUGGCGCACGAGAGGGGGCCGAUUCGGCACCUGCGGAGCUCGAUUCGGAGCUCGAAUCGACAGCGGCAGAGGUCGACUCGGCGGCUGCGAAGCUCGAUUCAGCGCCUGCGGAGGUUGAAUCGGCGGUGGAGGAGCUCCUCCUGGCGGCCCGCGUGAGCACGCGAGCAGCUUGCUCGAUGCAGGAGAGCAGCCUAGCGGCCAGCUGGGCAAGCUGCCGGGCAAAGUGGUGAGGUGAGCAAUACCAAGCGGCUUGCCUUGCUUGGCGUGGGACAACGGAUCCACGUCGCCAUCAAUUUGACCUUCGCGCGGGGAAAGCAAGGACGCGGGGAGGGGAGGUGGAGAUGGAUUUGGCGCGCAAAAAUCCUGCGCGCGCCCAAAUCAACUGCUGUCCGCACGGGAUUCGAGCGUGCGGUUGACCGUCGGAGACGAGGCUAUACAACAGUGCUGUGGUGUCUAUUCCCGCCUCGGAGCAUGGAUGCGGCCGCCGUCUCACGAGGCUGAGAGGAGGUUGUUUUUGCAAAAAUACCGGCUCGCAGACGGCUCCUAGACACCCGUUGUAUCGUGCCCUAAAAGCUCAAUCUUCCGGGACAAGCAGGUGGCUGCAACAAGUUAAAAUCCUUUAAUCACAGUGCCACCGACAGCCGUGUGUUCAUCCCUAAGGGUACUUUUAACAGUUUAGACGGCUGCCGUCUGUAAGUCAUAUAUAGACAGUGAAACCGACAGCUUGUACAAUGAUGUGUUUUUUAAGUUAUUUGCAAGUUAUUUAAUUCAUUCAAAUCAAGGUGAUCAGGUAUAAAUAUGAUCUAUGUAUGCCAUUUUGUUGCUUGUUCACUCAAUACAAUGCAUGCUACCCCAUAUUAUGGACACAUAAAUUUGACAUAGAAGCAUAAAUAUAAUAUAUAUUUAUAAUAAUUGAUCUUUGCAAUACAUAAUACGAUAAUAUUAUGACUUCCGCUUGGGGACCUUCAACAAACGAUUCCUUUGUGUUAGAUAAUUCCAUGUGCUCUUUCUGUGAGGUGAAUGUAGCUCUCUCUUUUUCCAGAGCUAAAGCACUUUCUUCCCUUUCACUUCUAUCUUUAUCAGUAGCAUUCACAUUUUGAGUACCACCAGCACCUCCUUGGCACACACCACCUGUGCAAGGGCUACAAGUUUCAAUUUUAUCAGUAAAUUUGGCAAUUGCAGGUCCAUACUAAACAUGAGUCCUAGGACAAGCUACUCUACCUGAAAUUGGAAGUAGGAUCUUCGAGGUUACUCGGUGGAUCCGGAAGUAUAAAACAGUGCCCAGUUGCCAGUUGGAGAGCAGGAGAUAUUUCUGAUAUAGCUCUCAGUGAAUUACAACAUGAAGGAUUAGCAUCUGCUUUCUUGAAAGUUUUUUCACCUGGAUUCAUGGUAUCCUCUUUAGCAGAAACGCUUUGGUCAGCUAAUUUUGUUCCUGUUUCUGAAGAAUUAGCAUCUGCUUUCUUGAAAGUUUUUCCAUCAGUGCUCUCUUUUCCUUCUGCAUUGUCAUCUACAUCCAUUUCCUCAGGCACAUCAAAAGUGCCAGUUUGGCAAAUCCUGUGUAAUCUUCUGAGGUGUUUCACUGAAUUCUUUACCAUCUAGAAAGGAAUCGAAAAUUGGCAUUUGGAGGAAGUAUAGCAUGCACUGUUCUUUUGUUUUUGUAACAACAUGCUCAGCAAUCUCAUCCCAUUCUUUUCCUUUAAAAAUUUCUAACGCUUCCAAAAGAAGCAAUGUCUCCUGGUCAGUCCAGUUAGAACCACCUGAGCCCGGAACCUCUGUAUAUUCCAUAAGGAUGAAAUCAGCAUUUGACAUGCCUUCGUCAAACUUUCCUACAUGUGAAUCUCGACAAGAAGAGUCACGGCUCACCUCUUCCCCUCUGUUCGCCCGCCGGCGGCGCGUCAUCUUCAGUCCCCGGUCGGGAGCAGCCCCAGAUGAUGUGGAGCCGCAGCGACGACGCGUAGGCGCUACUCUUCGGCAGCGGCGCAAGCUCGUGUCGAUGUGGAGACGGAGAGAAGGGAGUCGCGGAUCUGGAGGCCGGAGGGGAGCUUGCGACGGGGGAUUUCGAUCUGCUCUCGCAGGAGGGGGCCUCGCCUCCGGUGACGCCGCGGAGAUGGAGGAGGCGUGGCGCGGCGGCAGCCCAGCUAUCCGGCCUCACCUCCCGUCGGCGUCCCGCGCGGAGGGAGGAGGUGUGGCGCGACGGCGGCCCAGCUAUCCGGCCUCGCCUCCCAUCGGCGUCCCGUGCAGAGGGAGGGAAGUGGUUGGAAUCGGUUGGAGCAGCGCGGGCUGAUUUUGCACUCGAUCCGGAGGUGCGCCGAUGGAUCGUACAACGGCGCCUGGAGGUCGUCGCCAGGUGUUAGAGCAUGCGAGACGACGGCGCGCCCGUCGCUUGGCUCAAAUGAGGACGUUUUUGCAAAAACGCCAGCUCGCAGACGGCUCACAGUCGCCCGUUGUACGUGCCCUAAUGAGUAUCGAACGAGCCAUUACCAUUAGCAGUCAACACUCAACAGUUUAGUUUCCCUAGGAAGGAUAGCGCUUCUUCGGCGGCGACGACUCCAUCGGCCUCGUCGACAUCGCCGCCAGCAACGUGGCUCACUGGCUCGGGGUCAUGGAGGAGGUCGGCGGGGUGACGCCGCUGCUCACGGACGAGGAGUACCCCGCGCUGUGCCAGUGGGCGAAGCGCUACGCCGGCGACGAGACCGUGAAGCAGUGCCUGCCCAAGAGGGACGAGCUCUUUGCCAUGUACUCUGGGUUCAAGGAGAUGUUCCAGGCCAUGGCGACGUCGCAAAAUCAGUGACAUGUUUCAGUGCCAAAAAAAAGUGUGCUGCGGACGUGUUAGUAACGAUCAAGAUGUUCUUCGAUUGGAAUAAGAAGGCGAUUAUCAGUUAUCAUCAUAGUCGUUUUCUUUAGCACGACUCUUCUCCUGCUCAGAGCUUCGGCUGUGACUUUUCCGGUGGAAUGAUGUUUUAGCUACAACUUGUCUGGUUAGAAAAAUAUUUGGUAAAACGGCUUCUUCUAACGGCGUAACAUGGAUAAAAAUAAUGAAAUAUCUAUAAUACAUUUAUCAUUUUAUUUUUCUUUUUUCUUCCAAUUUUUUCUCAUCUCUUUUGGCCUGUUCGCUUCAGUUUAUAAGCCGGUUGAAAAGCUAAAACGACUUAUUUGUUGUGAGAGAAAAAUACUGUUUGGUGGCUGAUAAGCCGACUAAAUAAGCUGAAGCGAACAGACCGUUUAUUCCCCUUCACUUUUUUCUUUUUUAUUUCUCCUCUUAUCUUCUCCUCCUAUUCUUUUCCCUAUCAUCACCUUCCUACCAGCGCCGCUCCGCUCCCUGCCAGCGCCGCCGGCGUCCUCCGCCCCCGCGCGCCCACUCUACCGCCUUCCAAACCCCCACGACCGCACCGUCGCCACCUUUGGGCGUCGCGCCGCUCCAACCUCCUGCAUCCGUGCCGCCACCAUCCGGCCUCCCCGCGCCCACUCUGACGGCGUCCUCCGGCCUCCUCACGCAAGCUGGGGACUUUUAGCAUCCACACCCAGGGGCAAGCUGGAACUUUGCCCCGCACGAAGGAGAUGAAGCCGCAGGGAGCUGAUAUUUUAGGCUUCUCCUUCCUCUCCUAGCUCCUCUCAGAGGGAAUUGCGGGACUCCUCCCAUGGAGCCGUUUCGUGAGCGGUUGUUUGGCACGACUUUUUUAGAAGUCGGUGGAGAAGCCGUUCAAGAAGCCUUGCCAAAGGGACCUAGGGACGAUCAACACUGGUGUUUAACUAUUUGUGUUUCUUCUCCGCCGUCAGAUCUGCGUGUACUGUGAUCAGGCCCGUUCCUUUCUUUUGACCAGUCAACGACGCCCGCCACAGCCUUCUUCCCCGUUCGCUCGCAGUCGGAGACUCAGGAGAUUUAAUUAUUUAACACUUUUACAAAGGCCACACCUUCAUUUGCCAGUUUUAGAAUAGCUUCUACACUUUUGCCACCGCCUAACAUUUGAGCCAACAUAUUUGCCACUUUAUCCUACGUGGCACGACACCUCCUCCCUCCAGCGCGGAUAGGCAUGGGAAAUGACCAUCGUACCCUCACUUAUCCGUUACGCUCCUCCCAGAUCCGACGCCUGGGAUGUGCCAGUCGAUGGUCGGCGACCUGCUGGUAGUUGCCGCCGAUGAAGACGUCGCCGUAGAUGAGGCCGGCGAGGCCACCACCGAUGAGCGGGCCGACCCAGUAGACCCAGUUGCCGGCGAAGUUGCCAGCGGCGACGGCGGGGUCGAAGGAGCGGGCGGGGUUCACGGAGCCGCCGCUGAAGGGGCCGGCGGCAAGGAUGUUGGCACCGACGAUGAAGCCGAUGGAGAUGGGGGCGAUGGUGCCGAGGGAGCCCUUCUUGGGGUCGGCGGCGGUGGCGUACACGGUGUACAGGAGCGCGAAGGUGAUGAUGAUCUCGAACACCACGCCCUCCAGCUCGCUGAUGCCGGCGACGCCGUGGGUCGGGAUGGCCUUGCCGUGGGUCACGAACUUGAGGAGUAGGCAGGCCACGGAGGCGCCGAGCAGCUGGGCGACCCAGUAGAAGAGGCCGGUGAGGAUGGUGAUGUGGCCGCCGACGGCGAGGCCGAAUGUCACGGCGGGGUUGAGGUGGCCGACGGAGAUGUUGGCGGCGACGGAGACGCCGACGAAGAGGGCCAGCGCGUGGGUGAACGCGAUCGCCACCAGGCCGGAAGCGUCGAGCGCGCCGCCAUGGCUCAGCUGCCCUGCACGUACACGCACGGCAAGUAAUCGAUUGAUCAGCACGCGGAGUCAAAGUGCCUCGAGAUCGACGGAACAGCAGACCUCACCGUAGGUGAUGGCGGAACCGACGCCGGCGAAGACGAAGAGGAGGGUGGCGAUGAACUCGGCCACGUAGGCCAUCUCUCUCCAUUUUCCUGUUGCGUGUGCUGCACCACUAUAUUUAGAGUCGGAUCCUCACUUGUUAGCUCCAGAUAACUGAUCAAAUGCACUAUGGAUUCAAGAUAAAAUGCAUGAAUUCAUCGACACAGUUAACACAUACAACCAAAAAGAUACUCUAUGUAACGCAAAUUGCAGGUCAGGAUGAAAGUACAGCCGAAAUGAAACUGUACCUUAUGCUUUACACAGGCAAGAACAUUUCGACGACACUUUCAACUUAUGAGGUGGUGGUGCCACGUCGGACCAGGGUGGACGUCCGUGGCGCCACUCCCGGUGGCAGGCGGUGCCAUGCUGAGUACAGUGACGCCGUGCACAACGUCACGGUCAGGUGGUCCGACGUGUUCCUCCCGUUCCCCCCGAUAGUUCGACGAGGCCAUGAACAGGUUCUCCUUGCGCUCUGCAAAACAUGGCGUCAUUACCAAAUAGCACUACCUGGCUGAGCUGAUUAGUCAUGCGUGAACUGAACUCACAUGCAAGGGAAACAUGACCGGCGUGACGAGCGUGCCGCCGCUGGGCGGCGGUUGAGCCUUCGAGCUGUUCUACAACGGUUCUUGAAGUGGCCGAUCAGCUAAGACCCUGGAGAGAGCAACCUGAUGGUGGCCCGUCUGAUUAAUUUCAUGAAUGGAAGGGCGUACUUGUUAGCUUCAGAUGAAAGGCUCAGGAUCAAAUAGAUGAAUUCAUCACCGAAGUUACAUUAAUUGAUACGGCCGGAAAAAAAAACUCUUAACCAAUUUCAUGCAGGCAACGAUAUAAUUAAAGAGACUACGAUCAAGAGAAAAAUCUUGGUAAACCGUACCUACCUGAUGCUUUACACAGGCAACGACGUUUGGACGAAGAUACCCGGCUCUCCUUGUAUACAUAAUGCAUACGGAAUUUGAACAGCUAACCAUCAUUUCAAACAAAAUACAAUGAGCUGCUGAAAAGCUAACUAUGAUUUGAGAGGCCGGGUAGUAUAUGGUAGAUCCUUGACAGGCCUUAAGGUAGCCUGCCAAAAAUUGAAAAUAAAAAAUGACUCGAGACUCUAGAGAUUCAUAUUUAGUCGCGAUCGACUAAUUUGUCCGCACAACCGUUAGCCAAGUCACAGAAAUUAAAGAAAAGCAUGCACUGUAAGUUAUCUAGCAGAAAAGAAAACAACAUCGAUAAGGAGGUUCUC
RNAcentral lists this long non-coding RNA (18448 nucleotides) under Setaria italica (foxtail millet). RNAcentral describes it as "long non-coding RNA (SITA_LNC004185)". The record is from RNAcentral. Lineage: Eukaryota; Viridiplantae; Streptophyta; Magnoliopsida; Poales; Poaceae.